CACACACACACACACACACUCAUAAUUACUGAUCCCUCUCCCCCUUCGUUAGGCCUCCUGGAUCAGAGCAGCAGCUCCUGAAGCCCUGGAUCGUGGUGAACCUGGUGGUGGCUCUGCUGGUGGGUUUGGCCUGGGUGUUCAUCUCCACCCGGCCUGACAUGGACUACACCGAGGAGUUCCUGAUGGCGAUGGAGGUGGAGGAUUACAGACAUGAUGACAGGCUGGAUAUCCCAACCUGAGGUCAUCACUGAAGUGUCACAGAAAUGUUGAAGGGACAUUUUUUUUUGUACAGAUAACAUGUGAAUAGAUUAUAGCUGUGGGUAUUUUUUUAUUAAGAGAAAUAAAGGCUGUCGUGGAAAUGUU
Clupea harengus (Atlantic herring) is the source of this 363-nucleotide long non-coding RNA. RefSeq lists it as uncharacterized. NCBI's taxonomy places the organism in Eukaryota, Metazoa, Chordata, Actinopteri, Clupeiformes, Clupeidae. The transcript is spliced from 2 exons. The record is from RefSeq and is a predicted model, not a curated record.